CACUAAUUUGGAAAUAGAGUUAGCAUUCAAAUAUCCCCAAAACAUGUCGCACAAAUAGAUGCACUGAAAGAGCAAAAGUGAUAGUGAGCACAGACAGUUAAACAAAGAUGGAAGAGUUGAUGGAGAGGGAAACAUGCAGAGAGAUGGGCAGGAGAGGUGACCUUACCUUGGCUGGUGUCUGAGCGUCUGCCACUGUUGGGCUCCAUCAAGAUAUCUUAUAGUGGAGCGCUGUUGACUCAUCGCUUACUCACCUCUCUCCGAACCCCAUUCCCCCUCAUCCACCCCCCUCGCUUACCUCUCCCCAUCCCACACCACUCAAUCCCCUGGUGGUGCUGCAGGACACAUCACAGAAGUUACACCACAUUUUUGAUGGAUCUGUGGUAUCUGUGGUGUUGCUGAUUAAAGGUUAAUCAACAUGUUUCUGCCUUUUUCUCAGCUGCAAGAGGCUCCUCAUAUAAAGGGAUCAAUCCGGCUGCAUCCCUGCAGGACAAGAAGUCACCUCCUGGAGUAUGACAGAAGGACACUGCAAGGCUUCAUUAAUAAUUCAUGAGGACUUUGUGUCACAUGACUUUUGGGAACAUGUGAGUCACAUCCUCAGAAAAAGUGUGUGCCCCUCUUUUGUCAAACUCUACACACCGGGACGCACAGUAAAAUGUAUGCACCGUAUCCAUUAACCCUUUAAGGUUAGGAGAAGGAAUAUAAUUGCUUUACCAGUAAAUGCUGUAGAAUUAAAUGCAGGACAAAAGGUUAACAAAGUGUUUCUGACCCGUCCCUUGUAACGCCGGCUGAGUCGUGUUAAUGGGCCUAGUGCAGUAUCAGAUGACUCUUCCAGAUGCUGCAUGGAAACCAGGAAUUCCACUCAGCAGGAUUUGCCUGGAUGAGUCACAGGAAUGAUGGGAAUUCGAAUUCAUUGAUCCUGCAUAUGCUGCCAUUCAGGACAAUGUGCUGUUUUCUCCCCCAGACGCUUCAGUGACGUUAACACUCGUAAAGUGUGUCUGCAAAGACCUGAAUCAGCGCUUCCUUGUGGGGCGACUUCACAGUGAGUCUCCUGUCUUGCAGAAGUCUAGUCACAGAAAGCUCAGUCUUUCAGAAUAUACUAGGUUCGUCAACACUGGCAGCACAAGUUGUUCAUAUAUUUCAAAUGGCACUAAUGCCAACAAAAGGGACCUAUUGCAAAGGAUUAAGGGAGUAUUGAGGAACUUAACGCUUGAGUGAAUUCAUGCAGACUAUAACUUGCGACAAGUUAUGCAAUGUCCAAAAUACUUUAGGGUUUGCGGGUCACUGAUGCUCUUUCCCAUCAGCAUAUUAUCAGGAGGCUUUAUAUCUCUCUAGGUGUUAAAUAAUACAUUUGAAACACAUUUAUGGUAAUCCCUGUUCCAGCCUCUCGGUUCCCUGCAGUGUAAAAAGUUUAAGCCAAGUUUCUGAGACUGACAAUAAAUCAGCCUUCUUUUUUUGGACUUUAAUUCUCAAGAAGAAGUUUGCUUCCAAAUGCACCAACUGCCUUAAUGCUAACUUCCUGGAAUGUGCCUAUUGAAAGGGUAGAUGCAUUAUCAAAUACAGGUCUACAGCUGGAAACAGUUGCAAACAAUAGAGGCAUGGAAAAUAAGAGGCCUCAGCAGGAUGAGAUAAACAAGCUGACUUACAGAAAAGUAAAUAUCUGGAUUUAUAAGGUCAGAUAUACUUAGACAACACAUCUAGAACUAAACCAUAAUGCAACAAACACACAUGCAUUCAGAUAGUUCAGUAGUAAUCCAUAUUGUACCUAACAUGGAUGGACUGAUCCUAACAGUACUGACACUGUAGUGUUUGGGAAUUGAUACCAAUAUGAAUAGGACCAAUAAAACUAACUGCAUUCUGAACACAUGAACACUCUUCCAGGGAAUGCAGCGCUUUCAUGUGCAUAGUUUAGUUUACAUAGCGCACAUAACUAGCAUCUGUCAUUUACCACUGAAAUCUGUGUUUCAA
This is a long non-coding RNA of Acanthochromis polyacanthus (spiny chromis), 1965 nucleotides long. RefSeq lists it as uncharacterized. The record is from RefSeq and is a predicted model, not a curated record. NCBI's taxonomy places the organism in Eukaryota, Metazoa, Chordata, Actinopteri, Pomacentridae. The transcript has 3 exons.